Molecule: ribosomal RNA, 1384 nt
Filed under: uncultured bacterium
Lineage: Bacteria
Description: 16S ribosomal RNA
Rfam family: Bacterial small subunit ribosomal RNA
Source: RNAcentral
GACGAACGCUGGCGGCGUGCCUAAUACAUGCAAGUCGAGCGAGCGGAACUAACAGAUUUACUUCGGUAAUGACGUUAGGAAAGCGAGCGGCGGAUGGGUGAGUAACACGUGGGGAACCUGCCCCAUAGUCUGGGAUACCACUUGGAAACAGGUGCUAAUACCGGAUAAGAAAGCAGAUCGCAUGAUCAGCUUUUAAAAGGCGGCGUAAGCUGUCGCUAUGGGAUGGCCCCGCGGUGCAUUAGCUAGUUGGUAAGGUAAAGGCUUACCAAGGCGAUGAUGCAUAGCCGAGUUGAGAGACUGAUCGGCCACAUUGGGACUGAGACACGGCCCAAACUCCUACGGGAGGCAGCAGUAGGGAAUCUUCCACAAUGGACGCAAGUCUGAUGGAGCAACGCCGCGUGAGUGAAGAAGGUUUUCGGAUCGUAAAGCUCUGUUGUUGGUGAAGAAGGAUAGAGGUAGUAACUGGCCUUUAUUUGACGGUAAUCAACCAGAAAGUCACGGCUAACUACGUGCCAGCAGCCGCGGUAAUACGUAGGUGGCAAGCGUUGUCCGGAUUUAUUGGGCGUAAAGCGAGCGCAGGCGGAAGAAUAAGUCUGAUGUGAAAGCCCUCGGCUUAACCGAGGAACUGCAUCGGAAACUGUUUUUCUUGAGUGCAGAAGAGGAGGGCGGAACUCCAUGUGUAGCGGUGGAAUGCGUAGAUAUAUGGAAGAACACCAGUGGCGAAGGCGGCUCUCUGGUCUGCAACUGACGCUGAGGCUCGAAAGCAUGGGUAGCGAACAGGAUUAGAUACCCUGGUAGUCCAUGCCGUAAACGAUGAGUGCUAAGUGUUGGGAGGUUUCCGCCUCUCAGUGCUGCAGCUAACGCAUUAAGCACUCCGCCUGGGGAGUACGACCGCAAGGUUGAAACUCAAAGGAAUUGACGGGGGCCCGCACAAGCGGUGGAGCAUGUGGUUUAAUUCGAAGCAACGCGAAGAACCUUACCAGGUCUUGACAUCUAGUGCCAUUUGUAGAGAUACAAAGUUCCCUUCGGGGACGCUAAGACAGGUGGUGCAUGGCUGUCGUCAGCUCGUGUCGUGAGAUGUUGGGUUAAGUCCCGCAACGAGCGCAACCCUUGUUAUUAGUUGCCAGCAUUAAGUUGGGCACUCUAAUGAGACUGCCGGUGACAAACCGGAGGAAGGUGGGGAUGACGUCAAGUCAUCAUGCCCCUUAUGACCUGGGCUACACACGUGCUACAAUGGGCAGUACAACGAGAAGCGAGCCUGCGAAGGCAAGCGAAUCUCUGAAAGCUGUUCUCAGUUCGGACUGCAGUCUGCAACUCGACUGCACGAAGCUGGAAUCGCUAGUAAUCGCGGAUCAGCACGCCGCGGUGAAUACGUUCCCGGGCC